GGAGAUAUGGCUCCAGUGGUAGAGCACCUGCUUGUUCAGCAUGAUACCCUGAGUUCAAAUCCCAGCAUUACCA
Dipodomys ordii (Ord's kangaroo rat) is the source of this 73-nucleotide non-coding RNA. Lineage: Eukaryota; Metazoa; Chordata; Mammalia; Rodentia; Heteromyidae. The record is from Rfam.